Non-coding RNA from Acanthosepion pharaonis, 113 nucleotides. NCBI's taxonomy places the organism in Eukaryota, Metazoa, Mollusca, Cephalopoda, Sepiida, Sepiidae. The record is from the annotation of a GenBank genome assembly.
UUAUGGCCAUAUCAGGUUGAAACACCAGUUCCCAUACAAUCAUUGGAGUUGAGCAACAUCAAGCUGGUUCAGUACCUAGUUGGGUGACUGCUUGGGAAUACCAGGUGGUGUAA